Molecule: ribosomal RNA, 1046 nt
Filed under: Mecas rotundicollis
Lineage: Eukaryota; Metazoa; Arthropoda; Insecta; Coleoptera; Cerambycidae
Description: partial large subunit ribosomal RNA
Rfam family: Eukaryotic large subunit ribosomal RNA
Source: RNAcentral
AGCACCGAAUCCCGCGGCCGAUAUCGGACGCCGGGAAAUGUGGUGUUAGGGAGGAUCCGUUUAUCCCGAGAUUCGGCGGCGCGUCCAAGUCCUUCUUGAACGGGGCCACAGCCCAUAGAGGGUGCCAGGCCCGUAGCGACCGUUGCCGAUCGCGGGAGGAUCUCUCCUCAGAGUCGGGUUGCUUGAGAGUGCAGCCCUAAGCGGGUGGUAAACUCCAUCUAAGGCUAAAUAUGACCACGAGACCGAUAGCGAACAAGUACCGUGAGGGAAAGUUGAAAAGCACUUUGAAGAGAGAGUUCAAGAGUACGUGAAACCGUUCAGGGGUAAACCUGAGAAACCCGAAAGGUCGACGGGGGAAAUUCAUUCGCGUUUCGGCCGUCGGAGCGAGACGAUCGAGUGACGGAUGGCGUACGCGUCGUCCGCACCUUUCGUUUUGCCGUUCGACGUCGAACGCGUGCACUUUUCCCCUAGUAGGACGUCGCGAUCCGUUGGGCGUCGGUCUAAGGCUGUGUUGACGGUGGAGCCCGAGCGCGCGUCUUCGGACGUCUCGCGUUCGGACCCGUUCAUGUCCCGACCGACUCGCUCGACGGUAUACGGAUGGCGCGAGGCCGCUACAUCAGUUAGCGUUCGGCCCGUGGCAAGCGCGUCCGGUGUCGACGGCGAUCGGACCUGGUGCCGAUUCCGUCCCCGGACGACUGUUGGCCGCGGUGUUCUCGAACAGACCUCGUUUCGAAACGCCUAUCUGCGACGCUAUAGCUUUGGGUACUUUCAGGACCCGUCUUGAAACACGGACCAAGGAGUCUAGCAUGUGCGCGAGUCAUUGGGACAUAACUAAACCUAAAGGCGCAAUGAAAGUGAAAACGGUCCGUUUCGGCGGACCGAGGGAGGAUGGGCGGUUCGUUCGUUUCGUGCGACCGCCCCGCACUCCCGGGGCGUCUCGUUCUCAUCGCGAGAAGAGGCGCACCAAGAGCGUACACGCUGGGACCCGAAAGAUGGUGAACUAUGCCUGGUCAGGACGAAGUCAGGGGAAACCCUGAUGGAGGUCC